Molecule: ribosomal RNA, 404 nt
Filed under: uncultured bacterium
Lineage: Bacteria
Description: bacterial SSU rRNA
Rfam family: Bacterial small subunit ribosomal RNA
Source: RNAcentral
UGGGGAAUAUUGGACAAUGGGGGAAACCCUGAUCCAGCCAUGCCGCGUGAACGAUGAAGGCCUUCGGGUUGUAAAGUUCUUUUGGUGGGGACGAUGAUGACGGUACCCACAGAAUAAGCACCGGCUAACUUCGUGCCAGCAGCCGCGGUAAUACGAAGGGUGCUAGCGUUGUUCGGAAUUACUGGGCGUAAAGGGCGCGUAGGCGGUUUAACAAGUUGGGUGUGAAAGCCCAGGGCUCAACCCUGGAACUGCACUCAAAACUGUUUUACUUGAAUUCGGUAGAGGUUGGUGGAAUUCCCAGUGUAGAGGUGAAAUUCGUAGAUAUUGGGAAGAAUAUCCGUGGCGAAGGCGGCCAACUGGACCGACAUUGACGCUGAGGCGCGAAAGCGUGGGGAGCAAACAGG